CGAUUGGAUAGUGCAGGAAACUGCAUGAAACUCGCCUGUAAUCCCGGCAUCGUUGAUCCGUUUACGGUUAGCGUGGCGACUUCACUUCUGCCUUCGGGCAGCUUCAAC
This 108-nucleotide non-coding RNA is filed under the name unclassified sequences. Its description in RNAcentral is "DUF3577 RNA". It matches the Rfam family "DUF3577 RNA". The record is from RNAcentral.